Molecule: ribosomal RNA, 300 nt
Filed under: uncultured Lactobacillus sp.
Lineage: Bacteria; Bacillati; Bacillota; Bacilli; Lactobacillales; Lactobacillaceae
Description: bacterial SSU rRNA
Rfam family: Bacterial small subunit ribosomal RNA
Source: RNAcentral
CGGUGUAGAGCGUGGCGGGAGGCGCGGUAAGACGGAGUUGUCAAAGGGUAUCCGGAAUUGGUGGGCGUAAAGCGUGCGUAGGGGGUUUUUUAAGUCGGAUGUGAAAGCCCACGGCUCAACCGUGGAGGGUCAUUGGAAACUGGAAAACUUGAGUGCAGAAGAGGAAAGUGGAAUUCCAUGUGUAGCGGUGAAAUGCGCAGAGAUAUGGAGGAACACCAGUGGCGAAGGCGACUUUCUGGUCUGCAACUGACGCUGAUGUGCGAAAGCGUGGGGAUCAAACAGGAUUAGAUACCUAGUAGC